AGGAUCUGAAGUACAAGAAGGGAUCAAGGUUGAUUGAAUCUCUCCUCCAAAAAGAGAAAAUAAUGCGCUAAACCACUUGCAUAGAAGGUACAAGUAAUGUCAUCAUAUUAACAGAGUUGUGAAAGAUCAAGAUUAGAGAAAAAUGCAAUCAGCAAGAGACAUCAAGCAAAGUUCCAAAAUCGAAUUAGGAAGGUGAUUUUGAAUACCUUGCGGGCGAGGAGGCGAUAAGCAUGUUCGAUCUCGAUGGCUGUAGCAGUGUAAGCGACGCCCAGAACGAUGUAUGGAUUGAGGCCGUCGUUGAUUGCAACAACGGAAGAGAAGGAUGAGGAGGCUGCUGUGAUGAGUGAGGGCCGCCGGCGAGGAGGGCUCGGCAGCGUGGCAAGGGAUUGGAAUCGGCGAAGAAGAAACCCUACAAAUAGAAACACUAGAAUGUGAAGAAGAGGUGGUCGGUGGUUUUACUGGCCUUCUUGAGAUCAAAUGCCGAUUCCUACAACACCAAGUACUUCUCUUGCAGAUGAAGAUCCAAUUCAGAAAGAGAGUGAAAUAUCUUCACUUGAAAAAUUAGUGGCUAAACUUUAAUUUUUAAUAAGUGAAAGGAUUUGUUUGGAACUAA
This is a long non-coding RNA of Lotus japonicus, 613 nucleotides long. RefSeq lists it as uncharacterized. The record is from RefSeq and is a predicted model, not a curated record. The transcript has 2 exons. Lineage: Eukaryota; Viridiplantae; Streptophyta; Magnoliopsida; Fabales; Fabaceae.